GUGCUUGCUUGGCAGUGCAUAAAACUAAAUUGGAAUGGCAUAGAGAGAUUAGCAUAUCCCUGGUGCAAGAAUGACACACAAAUGCAGGAAGAUUUCCACUUAAAA
Small nuclear RNA from Lutra lutra (Eurasian river otter), 105 nucleotides. The record is from RefSeq and is a predicted model, not a curated record. NCBI's taxonomy places the organism in Eukaryota, Metazoa, Chordata, Mammalia, Carnivora, Mustelidae.